RNAcentral lists this ribosomal RNA (1295 nucleotides) under metagenome. RNAcentral's name for it is "SSU rRNA". It matches the Rfam family "Eukaryotic small subunit ribosomal RNA", at positions 482 to 1801 of the family's 1831-position model. The record is from RNAcentral.
AAUGCGGGACUCUAAGAGGCCCCGUAAUUGGAAUGAGUACACCUUAAAUCGUUUAACGAGUAUCAAUUGGAGGGCAAGUCUGGUGCCAGCAGCCGCGGUAAUUCCAGCUCCAAUAGCGUAUAUUAAAGUUGCUGCAGUCAAAAAGCUCGUAGUUGGAUCUGGGGCUUGAGGUCGCUGUCUAUCGUUUCGGCGAUGACGGUGAUGCUCAGCUCUGCUUGCCGGUGACUGUUGCGGUGUUCUUAAUUGAGCGCUGUAGCAGCACGGCACGUUUACUUUGAAAAAAUUAGAGUGCUCAAAGCGUGCUUGUCGCUUGAAUAAUGUUGCAUGGAAUAAUGGAAUAGGACCUCGGUUCUAUUUUGUUGGUUUUCGGAGCUUGAGGUAAUGAUUAAGAGGGACGAACGGGGGCAUUCGUAUUGCGGUGUUAGAGGUGAAAUUCUUGGAUCGCCGCAAGACGGACUACUGCGAAAGCAUUUGCCAAGAACGCUUUCAUUAAUUAAGAACGAAAGUCAGAGGUUCGAAGACGAUCAGACACCGUCCUAGUUCUGACCAUAAACGAUGCCGACCAGCGAUCCGUAGUGGUUGCUUUAUGGACCCUACGGGCAGCCUCCGGGAAACCAAAGUAUUUGGGUUCCGGGGGAAGUAUGGUUGCAAAGCUGAAACUUAAAGGAAUUGACGGAAGGGCACACCAGGAGUGGAGCCUGCGGCUUAAUUUGACCCAACACGGGAAAACUCACCCGGUCCGGACACCGUAAGGAUUGACAGACUGAUAGCUCUUUCUUGAUUCGGUGGAUGGUGGUGCAUGGCCGUUCUUAGUUGGUGGAGUGAUUUGUCUGGUUAAUUCCGAUAACGAACGAGACUCUAGCCUGCUAAGUAGUGUGUCUAUUGUGAUAUGGUAUACACUUCUUAGAGGGACAAGUGGCAUUUAGCCACGCGAAAUUGAGCAAUAACAGGUCUGUGAUGCCCUUAGAUGUCCGGGGCCGCACGCGCGCUACACUGGAGAAGUCAGCGUGUGUUAUCCGAGUCCGAAAGGAUUGGGUAAUCCGUUGAACCUUCUUCGUGCUUGGGACUGUGGCUUGGAACUAUUCCACAUGAACGAGGGAUUCCUAGUAAGUGCAAGUCAUUAGCUUGCGUUGAUUACGUCCCUGCCCUUUGUACACACCGCCCGUCGCUACUACCGAUUGAAUGGUUUAGCAAGGUCCUCGGAUCGUGGCCGUAGGGGCACGCAAGUGUUUCUGCGGUUUGCGAGAAGACGACAAACUUGAUCAUUUAGAGGAAGUAAAAGUCGUAACAAGGUU